This 501-nucleotide ribosomal RNA is filed under the name uncultured bacterium. RNAcentral's name for it is "bacterial SSU rRNA". It matches the Rfam family "Bacterial small subunit ribosomal RNA", at positions 29 to 524 of the family's 1533-position model. The record is from RNAcentral.
AAUGAACGCUGGCGGCGCGCCUAAUACAUGCAAGUCGAGCGAGAAGACGUAGCAAUACGUUUGUAAAGCGGCGAACGGGUGAGGAAUACAUGGGUAACCUACCCUCGAGUGGGGAAUAACUAGCCGAAAGGUUAGCUAAUACCGCGUACGCUCCUUGGACUUCGGUUCAGGGAGGAAAGCGAUACCGUGGGUAUCGCGCUCUUGGUUGGGCUCAUGUCCUAUCAGCUUGUUGGUGAGGAACGGCUCACCAAGGCUUCGACGGGUAGCUGGUCUGAGAGGACGAUCAGCCACACUGGCACUGCGACACGGGCCAGACUCCUACGGGAGGCAGCAGUAAGGAAUAUUGCGCAAUGGGCGAAAGCCUGACGCAGCGACGCCGCGUGGGGGAUGAAGGUCUUCGGAUUGUAAACCCCUUUCGGGAGGGAAGAUGGAACGAGCAAUCGUUCGGACGGUACCUCCAGAAGCAGCCACGGCUAACUUCGUGCCAGCAGCCGCUGUAAC